Molecule: ribosomal RNA, 472 nt
Filed under: uncultured bacterium
Lineage: Bacteria
Description: bacterial SSU rRNA
Rfam family: Bacterial small subunit ribosomal RNA
Source: RNAcentral
UGGGGAAUCUUGGACAAUGGGCGCAAGCCUGAUCCAGCCAUGCCACGUGUGUGAAGAAGGCCUUCGGGUUGUAAAGCACUUUUAUCAGGAACGAAAAGCGUGGGGUUAAUACCUUUACGUGCUGACGGUACCUGAGGAAUAAGCACCGGCUAACUUCGUGCCAGCAGCCGCGGUAAUACGAAGGGUGCAAGCGUUAAUCGGAAUUACUGGGCGUAAAGCGUGCGUAGAUGGUUUGUUAAGUCGGAUGUGAAAGCCCCGGGCUCAACCUGGGAACUGCAUCCGAUACUGGCAGACUAGAGUGUGGUAGAGGAUGGCGGAAUUCCCGGUGUAGCGGUGAAAUGCGUAGAGAUCGGGAGGAACAUCCGUGGCGAAGGCGGCCAUCUGGACCAACACUGACGUUGAGGCACGAAAGCGUGGGGAGCAAACAGGAUUAGAUACCCCAGUAGUCCCUGAGCGGGCUGGCAAGGCGCAU